CACCAGCUGUUUCUCAAUGUCAAGGAAGGAUCCUUCGAAGCCAGAAUUUGGAGGAUGCUACGUCAUCGAUGUCCGUCGAAGGACCGUUCCAAUGUCGAGGAUCCUCCGAAUCCCACCAAGGACUGAGUCCUUCGUUCUGAGAAUUUCCCAUAGACGGCAAAGGAUGCAUAUGUGUAUCCUUCGCGCUCCUAUAUUACCCACAAUCCUAUGCGCACGGCUUUUCCAGCUCGUUAAAAAAAAUAAAAAUGCCGGACCUAAGCGGAGUGACGGGGCAAUAUGCUUUUAAAUGGACUUAGGAACAAACGGAGACGUUUAUACGUCUCCGUUUAGAAAAAUAGCAGCUGUUUACCAGGGGGAGGGACACCGCGGCCAACGGAUAUCGGCUUAUUUUGGAGAAGAUGGGGAUCGGAGGGAGGGUCACCCAGGCCAAGAAGAAGUAGGACAAUCUGAAGAUGAAGUACAAUGUGGGAGAUAUUGUACUUUGGGGGUAUUAAUAUAUGGACAUUAUUGUUAUACACAUCUUAAUGUAACUUGUGAUUUUUGAAGUAAGCCUUGGAUGGAGAGAGUGGAUCCACUCCUACAGCUACUGAAGGAGGACAUAAAAUACCAGAGGGAGGCAGAUGAGAGGAGGGAAGCAGAGGCCAGAGAGAGGUCAAAUAGAUUUUUUUCAUUGUUGGAGAGGU
Molecule: long non-coding RNA, 683 nt
Organism: Esox lucius (northern pike)
Lineage: Eukaryota; Metazoa; Chordata; Actinopteri; Esociformes; Esocidae
Exons: 3
Source: RefSeq, a predicted model, not a curated record